Molecule: ribosomal RNA, 253 nt
Filed under: uncultured bacterium
Lineage: Bacteria
Description: partial 16S ribosomal RNA
Rfam family: Bacterial small subunit ribosomal RNA
Source: RNAcentral
UACGGGGGGGGCAAGCGUUGUUCGGAAUUACUGGGCGUAAAGGGCUCGUAGGUGGCCAACUAAGUCAGACGUGAAAUCCCUCGGCUUAACCGGGGAACUGCGUCUGAUACUGGAUGGCUUGAGUUCGGGAGAGGGAUGCGGAAUUCCAGGUGUAGCGGUGAAAUGCGUAGAUAUCUGGAGGAACACCGGUGGCGAAGGCGGCAUCCUGGACCGAUACUGACACUGAGGAGCGGAAGCCAGGGGAGCAAACGGG